GACGAACGCUGGCGGCGUGCUUAACACAUGUAAGUCGAACGAUGAACCCGGAGCUUGCUCCGGUGGAUUAGUGGCGAACGGGUGAGUAACACGUGAGUAACCUGCCCUUGACUCUGGGAUAACUGCGGGAAACUGUAGCUAAUACCGGAUACGACCCUCGGCGGCAUCGCCAGGGGGUGGAAAGAAUUUCGGUCAAGGAUGGACUCGCGGCCUAUCAGCUAGUUGGUGAGGUAACGGCUCACCAAGGCGACGACGGGUAGCCGGCCUGAGAGGGUGACCGGCCACACUGGGACUGAGACACGGCCCAGACUCCUACGGGAGGCAGCAGUGGGGAAUAUUGCGCAAUGGGCGAAAGCCUGACGCAGCAACGCCGCGUGCGGGAUGACGGCCUUCGGGUUGUAAACCGCUUUCAGCAGGGAAGAAGCCGCAAGGCGACGGUACCUGCAGAAGAAGCACCGGCUAACUACGUGCCAGCCGCCGCUGUAA
RNAcentral lists this ribosomal RNA (486 nucleotides) under uncultured bacterium. RNAcentral describes it as "partial 16S ribosomal RNA". It matches the Rfam family "Bacterial small subunit ribosomal RNA", at positions 28 to 523 of the family's 1533-position model. The record is from RNAcentral.